Molecule: ribosomal RNA, 433 nt
Filed under: uncultured bacterium
Lineage: Bacteria
Description: partial 16S ribosomal RNA
Rfam family: Bacterial small subunit ribosomal RNA
Source: RNAcentral
AACGAACGCUGGCGGCAUGCCUAACACAUGCAAGUCGAACGAGAACUCCGGGUCUUGUGGCGCACGGCUGCGUAACGCGUGGGAACCUGCCCUUAGGUUCGGAAUAACUCCCCGAAAGGGGUGCUAAUACCGGAUAAUGUCUUAGGACCAAAGAUUUAUUGCCUUUGGAUGGGCCCGCGUUGGAUUAGCUAGUUGGUAGGGUAAUAGCCUACCAAGGCGACGAUCCAUAGCUGGUCUGAGAGGAUGAUCAGCCACGCUGGGACUGAGACACGGCCCAGACUCCUACGGGAGGCAGCAGAGGGGAAUAUUGGACAAUGGGCGAAGGCCUGAUCCAGCAAUGCCGCGUGAGUGAUGAAGGCCGUAGGGUUGUAAAGCUCUUUUACCCGGGAUGAUAAUGACGGUACCGGGAGAAUAAGCUCCGGCUAACUCCGUG